This is a long non-coding RNA of Lycium ferocissimum, 1820 nucleotides long. RefSeq lists it as uncharacterized. The transcript is spliced from 2 exons. NCBI's taxonomy places the organism in Eukaryota, Viridiplantae, Streptophyta, Magnoliopsida, Solanales, Solanaceae. The record is from RefSeq and is a predicted model, not a curated record.
AUGCAGCUUUCCAUGAUCUUCACUAUUGGUAUUUUCUUGCUGUAAGUUACGUGUGCUUAUUGGUUUUCCAGAUCAAUUGCACAGUAGGUAAUGCUAGUUCCUUUCUUAAUUCCUGUUUUUUAAUAGGUAGUAAUUAGGAAAGUUUAUUAACUCAAAGCCCAAAAACACUUGCAAUUCUAAAAUAUGAAUAAGUCACUGUACCACUGACCACUCUAUUCGCCUAGGGAAGUAAUAGAACUUUUACCUUCAGUAGUUUAUCUAGAAACUAGUUAAAUUACCCGCGCUUCGCGCGGUCUUAAAAACUAUUAGUGAGGCAAUAUUUUUAUUAAUUAGUCCACAUAAAAAAAUGAUAAAAAUUAAUUUUUAUCUAUAAAAUCAUGUCUAAACUCUUAAGUAACCAAAUCUUCUUUAAAGGCCUAUAAUCGAAUAUGAUAAUAUGCCUACAUUAAAAGGAAAAAAAAUUCUUCUUUAAAGUAAUAAAAUACAAACGCAUUAUAAGAUAACGAAGCUUUAACUGAAAAGAUAAUUAUAUAGUAGUAAUAUCACAACAAAAUAGACACUUUUUGUUGGUUCCUCACUCAUUGACUUCUUUGUCAAUUUUUUUUUUUUUUUUCCUUCAAAAAACCAAUACUAAAACAAAGGGAAGAACGCCAACUUCCCCUUUUUAAAAUCAGCUAGGAAAUGUAUCUACAAACUCUAAUCACAAAACAGAAAAAAAUGUGCAUCUCUCCCUCGAUUAAAUUGUAUGUAUCUUUAAGUAAUAAUUAUCAGAGAAUAUGUAAAGUAAUAGUUGAAGAUUAGAGAAUUUAGAUUGUAUACAGGGAAAAAAAAAAAAAAAAACUUAUAAACAACAUAUUGCUGAGAUGAUUCGAGGAGUGUUAAAAAUUAAAUGCACAUAAUUUAACUCUUAUGACCACUCAAUACAUACAAAUAAAGGUAUUUGUACAAAAACAACUUAAUCAUGUCUCAAUAUAAUUAUAUCAUUGUCAUUCUCUGAUUGUUGAAAAAAUGUUCCCCCUCUUUCUCUUGGUAAUUUUUUUCCAAAUCCUGAAACUAACAUCAAAUUCACUGUAAAAGAAAGAAGAAAAUCUGCCAAUUGUCUCCCAAUAUAAUACAAUAGCGGAAAAAAACUAACAGUAGGCAACAUACCACUUCACGAACUUCUAAAAUAGUGGUGCAAGAAUGAAUGUGCCAUUUUGCAACAUCUAUGCAUGUCACAAAUAUAACCACGAAAGUUUUGUCAAAGUCUCGUACAGGGUAUUAUGUAAAAGUCCAUUAUUGUGACUUGCAUUGUUUGAGACGAACGUCUCCGCCAGACCAUUUGAGCCAUGUUGGGUUGACUCUUUCUCGAUCCUCAACCUAAUUUCGUCAUCGUCCCUGAUCAAUAUGAAUUGUGUAUUUGUUUUUUACCUUCAUGUUUUAAAUAGAGUAUUUUCUAAGUAAAACGAUUAAUGGAUUUAAAUGUGAUGUAAGUUACAAUUGACAAAGUAAUGAGAGUUAAUACUCAAAAUUCUGAGUAAGUAAUGAGAGUUAAAACUCAGAAGGAAGAAAAAAACCUCAUUGAUUCGUCUGAUCUUUCCUCAAAUGGAGACUGAAGGCAUUCUUUUUUCCUCGAUAAAUAAGGAAUAUGAAUGUCGGCAUGCUACACAAAGAACAAACUAAUUAACAUGAAGCAGAAGCAAAGUCGAAAGUGAUGAAGAGAACCAAUGAAAGAAGAAACGUGAAGAGGCAAAGUGAACACAACUGAAUAGAAAAAUCAGUUUGGGUUAAAAGGAAAGUAAAAUAGUUAUCGUUAUUACCAAAGGAAAAUUAAGCACUGA